GAGUAACGCGUGAGGAACCUGCCUCAAAGAGGGGGACAACAGUUGGAAACGACUGCUAAUACCGCAUAAGCCCACAGGUCGGCAUCGACCAGAGGGAAAAGGAGCAAUCCGCUUUGAGAUGGCCUCGCGUCCGAUUAGCUAGUUGGUGAGGUAAUGGCCCACCAAGGCAACGAUCGGUAGCCGGACUGAGAGGUUGAACGGCCACAUUGGGACUGAGACACGGCCCAGACUCCUACGGGAGGCAGCAGUGGGGAAUAUUGCACAAUGGGGGAAACCCUGAUGCAGCGACGCCGCGUGGAGGAAGAAGGUCUUCGGAUUGUAAACUCCUGUUGUUGAGGAAGAUAAUGACGGUACUCAACAAGGAAGUGACGGCUAACUACGUGCCAGCAGCCGCGGUAAAACGUAGGUCACAAGCGUUGUCCGGAAUUACUGGGUGUAAAGGGAGCGCAGGCGGGAAGACAAGUUGGAAGUGAAAUCCAUGGGCUCAACCCAUGAACUGCUUUCAAAACUGUUUUUCUUGAGUAGUGCAGAGGUAGGCGGAAUUCCCGGUGUAGCGGUGGAAUGCGUAGAUAUCGGGAGGAACACCAGUGGCGAAGGCGG
RNAcentral lists this ribosomal RNA (600 nucleotides) under uncultured bacterium. RNAcentral describes it as "bacterial SSU rRNA". It matches the Rfam family "Bacterial small subunit ribosomal RNA", at positions 108 to 724 of the family's 1533-position model. The record is from RNAcentral.